UUAGGACAAAAAAUUCUGCCAGGUCUGAUCCCAUUCCCUUUAAAGGCAGGUUGCCAAGAGCAGCUCUGAUCCCAUUCCCUUUAAAUGCAGGUGGCCCAGAGCAGCUCGGAUCCCAUUCCCUUUAAAGGCAGGUGGCCCAGAGCAGCUCUGAUCCCAUUCCCUUUAAAGGCAGGUGGCCCAGAGCAGCUCUGAUCCCAUUCCCUUUAAAGGCAGGUGGCCCAGAGCAGCUCUGAUCCCAUUCCCUUUAAAGGCAGGUGGCCCAGAGCAGCUCUGAUCCCAUUCCCUUUAAAGGCAGGUGGCCCAGAGCAGCUCUGAUCCCAUUCCCUUUAAA
Molecule: long non-coding RNA, 331 nt
Organism: Brienomyrus brachyistius
Lineage: Eukaryota; Metazoa; Chordata; Actinopteri; Osteoglossiformes; Mormyridae
Exons: 4
Source: RefSeq, a predicted model, not a curated record